This is an RNA transcript of Tripterygium wilfordii, 2259 nucleotides long. It is a transcript of the gene named acidic leucine-rich nuclear phosphoprotein 32-related protein-like, with no coding region annotated. The transcript is spliced from 3 exons. The record is from RefSeq and is a predicted model, not a curated record. Lineage: Eukaryota; Viridiplantae; Streptophyta; Magnoliopsida; Celastrales; Celastraceae.
CCCAAUCCGCUCCCAAGACUUAUCGCAGAGAGAGAGAGAGUGGGAUUUAAAUUAUAUAAGCCUUGUUCCUGAAACAAUCAUAGAGACAGUGAGCGCGUUCAUACUUUUGGAAAAUCAGGGUUUUAAGCCAUUAAGAGCCUGCUUUCGAUCGCCAAAUCUAGGGUUAGGGUUUAGUUUCCUGAUUUCAACAUCUGGUGUGAAAUUGGUUUAGCGCUGUGUUUGGUUGAGCCGCAAAUUAAGAACCUCUGCCUGCAUGACUUGAAUCCGUUUAUCCGUUAAACGGACACGUAUCGAUAGGUUUCGUAUUUGAUGGACGAGAUCUGGGAGAGGGCCGUGGAGACAGCGCUUGACGGCCAAACUGACCAUGCCGCAGCACGAAUCCUGACUUUGGACGGUGCAGUGAAGUGUGCACAAGGCAGGUUGCCGCCACCAAGCUUUUUCGAGAGAUUCCAGAACCUUCAACACUUCUCCAUCGCCAGCAUCGGGGUCUCGUCGCUCGAGCAGUUCCCUCGGCUGCGGAACCUCCAGAAACUGAUUCUUUCUGACAAUCGCAUCGCCGGUGGACUUGAAUUUCUAGUUGAGGCCGGUCUAGAGUCUCUUCGAGAUUUGGACCUCUCCAAUAAUCGCAUCCAGUGUAUUGAAGAUCUCGCUCCCCUCUCGCAGUUAAGGAUCGUUUCACUCGAUCUUUAUGAAUGCCCUGUUACAAGAGUGAAGGAUUACCGAUCUAGGGUUUUCGGGUUGAUUAAAACCUUGAAAUAUUUGGACAAAUUGGAUAUGGAAGAGAAUGAAAGGCCGGAAUCGGAUGAUGAAGAUGAGGAGGAAGAGGACGAUGAAGAUGAUCCUGGCAGUGGUGAGAUUGACGGAGAAGAUGGGCCGUAUAGGAUGACUAACGGCUACAGUGACGGUGUUGAUGGGAUUGUUGACGUUGAUGAUGAUGAAGAGAGCGAUGCGGAUGAAGAGGAGACAGAGACAGCAAGACGGAGUAAUGGAGCCAGCCAUCAGGCAAAUGGAUUCCAUGUUGCAGCGGUGGACAGAGGUGAUGGGGAUGAGGAGGCGGAUGAUGAUGGGGAUUAUUCUGGGGAGGAGAUCGAUGAGGAGGGGGAUGGGGAUGACGAGGAUGUAGUUGAGGUUCAUGAAAUUGAUGACAGCGACGAUGAAGAUGGGGUUGAAGAUGAGGAAGAGGAUGAUGAGGAGGAUGAAGAGGAAGAUGUGGAUAAUGAGGAAGGUGAUUUGGGGGAACCAGGGAGUACAGGGUUGUUGACUAGCACGGAAGGGGAGAUUGAUGGACAUGAGCAAGGGGAAGAUGAUGUGUAUGAGGAUGAUAACGGGGAGACUGGAGAUGAUGAGCAGGGGGUUGACGAUGAUGGGGUUUUUGAAGAAGAAGAAGAUGGUGAAGAUGAGGAUGAAGACAAUAGUGCAGGUUACCUGGUUCAACCAGUGGGGCAGGUUCAACCAGUGGGGCAAUCUGAAGUUCAUGAUGCUGAUGGUAGUGAUAUGGAACCAGGUAAUGAAGAAGAUGUUGAGGAAGAAGAUGUUGAGGAGGAAGAUGUUGAAGAUGACGAUGAAGUGAUGGUCCCCCCGCCCCCAUCUUCCUCACAACUAAAGAGAAAGAGAGAUGAUGAGAGUGAUGAAGAUGAUACUGUUGACGACGAUGAAGAUGAAUGAUGAAUGAGUGAUGGUCCUGGCCUCAUCUUCCUCACAGCUAAAGAGAGAGAGAUGAUGAUAGAGAUGGUGGAAAUCCGAAUUCUUCCGAGAAACAUUGGUGAAUCUUUGUCAGUAAUCUUAGCGGGAGAAUUAUUCAGGCCUGGAAAAAAGGGAACUUGUUUUUAGGUAGGUUGGGGUUGGUGGUCUGCUAGUGAUUUUGGAUGAUCUUUAUGGACAAGGUGUAGUGUUGGGAGAUCAGAGCACGUGGUCGCAGAAUUGAGGAGGAUGAGGGAAUCAUCUAGUACGCUUUCGUCUGGUCUCAUGCAACGUGAGAUGGCGCCUCUUUGCCCUUUCAGAUUGAAUCCGACGGUCGAUUUCUCAUAGGCAUCUUGCCCCCUGGAUUAAUGGAUGCGAAGAUACAUUUACGCAUUUAACACACCCCUGGGCCUGGCCUUUUUGCUGGUUGAUUUAGUGAGCAAGCCCUUCAACUCGCUUGAGAACUUGGCUAGCUUAGGCUCUAUGUUGUAUUCUAAUUCUACUACGACUUGGUUUGUAGAGUUGUUUGGGCUGAAGCCCACAAGAGUGCCGAUUUGUGAAAGUGAAUCACAGUUGCUA